This 73-nucleotide transfer RNA is filed under the name Jatropha curcas. It matches the Rfam family "tRNA". Rfam says of the family: Transfer RNA (tRNA) molecules are approximately 80 nucleotides in length. Their secondary structure includes four short double-helical elements and three loops (D, anti-codon, and T loops). The record is from Rfam by way of RNAcentral. Lineage: Eukaryota; Viridiplantae; Streptophyta; Magnoliopsida; Malpighiales; Euphorbiaceae.
GGUCUUGUAGCUCAAUUGAUUAGAGCAUUGGUCUUAUGAACUAAAGGUCUUGGGUUCGAGCUUGCCAAAAUCA